GUCUACAGGCAUACCACCCUGAACACACCUGAUCUCAUCUGAUCUCAGAAGCUAAGCUGGUUAGUACUUGGAUGAAAAAAUUCACAGGACAGAAUAUC
This 98-nucleotide ribosomal RNA is filed under the name Castor canadensis (American beaver). Lineage: Eukaryota; Metazoa; Chordata; Mammalia; Rodentia; Castoridae. The record is from RNAcentral.